CUUGCUGGCUCCCGCCCCCUCCACGCCCCGGGCUCUUCCCGCCGCCUUCACCAGCCCGCCCGUCUCCCUUUCCAGUCGGGCCGGCGGGGCUCGCACGCUCGGCGGCUCGGGCUGUGGGACCGUCGACACACCCUUCAUACCCUUUCCAGAAACUCUUGGCUUGUAACUGCGAAGCCGACAAGGGAGCAAAGAGCUGGGAGAACUGGAGAAAACCGCUCUCACCUGACUUGAUUCUGGCUGGAAGUGGAUCUUGCAUCCUAACAACCGACAUCUGCAGCGCACUCUCAGAGGCCCUAGGGUAACUUGUCUCAGAGAUUCCUCCAGAACGGAGCCCUUGGCUGGACCCAUGCCCCAGCCUGUGCCCCCAUGACCAGGUGGCUAGCACUCCUCGUGUCUGCAACCCAGAACCCUGGCUGACCACACUGAGCAGGAUGCGCCAGCAGGUUAAUGGCCACGGUUCAGGCUCUGAUGCCCACAGUGGCGGAGAGUCCCUCAGAGAAGAGCUGCAGGAAUUCCUGGGCGGGGAGGCCCUGCUGCACCAGCUGGAUGACCUCACCCAGGUGAAUCCUGUCACACUAGAGACAGUCCUGAGGUGUCUGCAGGCCCGGUACUCAGCAGACAUGUUCUACACCAACGCUGGCUGCACCCUGGUGGCUCUGAACCCCUUCAAGCCCGUCCCUCAGCUCUACUCCACGGAACUGAUGCAAGAGUACCACGCUGCUCCUCAGCCCCAGAAACUGAAGCCCCACAUCUUCACUGUGGGUGAACAGACCUACAGGAAUGUGAAGAGCCUGAUGGAGCCAGUCAACCAGUCUAUCGUUGUCAGUGGAGAGAGUGGUGCCGGAAAGACAUGGACGUCCCGCUGCCUGAUGAAGUUCUACGCUGUGGUGGCCGCCUCACCCACAUCCCGGGAGAGCCACAAGAUCGCAGAGAGGAUCGAGCAGCGCAUCUUGAACUCCAACCCCGUCAUGGAAGCUUUUGGGAACGCGGGCACACUGAGGAAUAACAACAGCAGCCGCUUUGGGAAGUUCAUCCAGCUCCAGCUGAACAGAACCCAGCAGAUGACCGGAGCUGCAGUUCAGACCUACCUCCUAGAGAAAACUCGAGUGGCCUGCCAGGCCUCCAGCGAGAGGAACUUCCACAUCUUCUAUCAGAUCUGCAAAGGAGCCAGUGCAGACGAGAGGCUCCAAUGGCACCUCCCCGAGGGAGCCACCUUCUCCUGGCUGCCCAACCCAGAGAGGACCUUGGAAGAAGAUUGUUUCGAGGUGACCAGGGAGGCCAUGCUUCAUUUGGGCAUCGAUGCCCCCACCCAGAACAACAUCUUUCAGGCCCUAGCUGGACUCCUGCACCUCGGCAACAUCCAGUUCGCUGACUCCAGGGACGAAGCCCAGCCCUGCCAGCUGAUGGACAGUGCUAAGUGCUCUGCCAGGACAUCUGCCUCGCUGCUGCGGCUUCCAGAAGACCUUCUGCUAGAGACACUGCAGAUUCGAACCAUCAGGGCAGGCAGGCAGCAGCAGGUGUUCCAGAAGCCCUGCUCCCGGGCUGAGUGUGACACCCGCAGAGACUGUCUGGCCAAACUGGUCUAUGCAAGGCUGUUUGACUGGCUGGUGUCGGUGAUCAACAGCAGCAUCUGUGCAGACCCCGACUCCUGGACCACUUUCAUAGGCUUGCUGGAUGUGUACGGGUUUGAGUCGUUUCCCAACAACAGUCUGGAACAGUUGUGUAUCAACUACGCCAAUGAGAAGCUGCAGCAGCACUUCGUGGCUCACUACCUCAGGGCUCAGCAGGAGGAGUACGCGGCUGAGGGCCUGCAGUGGUCAUUUGUCAACUACCAGGACAACCAGACCUGUUUGGAUCUCAUUGAGGGGAGCCCCAUCAGCAUCUGCUCCCUCAUGAACGAGGAAUGCCGCCUCAAUCGGCCAAGCAGCGCAGCCCAGCUCCAGACACGCAUCGAGAGCGCCCUGGCGGGCAGCCCCUGCCUAGGCCACGACAAGCUCAGCCAGGAGCCCAGCUUCAUUGUGGUGCAUUACGCAGGGCCUGUGCGGUACCACACCGCGGGCCUGGUGGAGAAGAACAAGGACCCCGUUCCCCCGGAGCUGACCAGGCUCCUGCAGCAAUCCCAGGACCCCCUGCUCAAGGUGCUGUUUCCUCCUGACCCUGAAGAGAAGUCCCAGGAGGAGCCCUCUGGCCAGAGCAGGACCCCAGUGUUGACCGUGGUGUCCAAGUUCAAGGCCUCCCUGGAGCAGCUUCUGCAGGUCCUGCAUAGCACCACGCCCCACUACAUCCGCUGCAUCAAGCCCAACAGCCAGGGCCAGGCACAGAUGUUCCACCCGGAGGAGGUCCUGAGCCAGCUGGAGGCCUGCGGCCUCGUGGAGACCAUCCACAUCAGCGCUGCCGGCUUCCCCAUCCGGGUCUCUCACCGGAACUUCGUGGAGCGGUAUGAGUUACUGAGGCGGCUCCGUCCUGGCACAGCCCCCAGCCAGUCUGCAGAUGAAGGGCGCUCAGCCCCGGGGCCCCUGGUUGAUCUUGCUGCUGUUUCUCGUCUGCGGCGUCUCCUUGGGCGGCCUCUGUCCCCAGAAAGGCACUGGGCAGCUAAAGGUGGUCAGAGCCUCAGGUAAUCCUCCCUGUACAGGAGAGCGGGAGGGCAGACAGGGGACCCGCUGGGCCCCCGGGGCACUGGUUUUUGUUUCUUUUCCCAUCGGGGGCGGGGAGGGCUCGGGCAGAGGGAGUGGCCCGGCUGUCCUGUCUGCCCCUCAGCAUGAUUGGGGCCUUGGAAACGAAUGCUGGCUGAGCAGCCCGGGAGUUCAGGCACCAAGUAAGUGCUCUUUGUCACCCUGCCCAAGGGGACCACAGGAGUGGAGGUGGCAGGCCAGUCCCGGGUACAGCCUCAAGUGGGACUCCAAGAUUCCUCAGAACAGCCAGGGGCUGAGGGGCAAGAGCAGGCCCUCUGGCCUCCUGGAAAAAAGGAAGGAGGCAGAAAGGAUUAGAGGCGAGAACAGUAGGAAAGAAGCCUAUGGAAUGUUGUUAGGGAGACCAGACCUGAUUCUCAAGUCCACAGCAGUGUGUCGAUGAAGCACUGACGGGAGCGCUGUCUCCCUCCCCCAGAACGGUCUCCACGCGCCGAGCAGGCCACGCUGCAAGCCCUCUUCCAGGACAUCCUCCACACUCUGCCAGCCCUGGCUCAGGCAGCGGCCACACCAGGUGACCGAGCCGAGGCCACGCCUGCCCCGGUGCACUGCGGCAGGACCAAGGUGUUCAUGACCGACUCCACGCUGGAGCUUCUGGAACGCGGGCGUGCCCAGGUGCUGGAGCAGUGCGCCCGCUGCAUCCAGGGCGGCUGGAGGCGACACCAGCGCCGCAAGCAGGAGAGACAGAGGCAGGCUGCUGUGCUCAUCCAGGCAGCCAUCCGUUCCUGGUUGACUCGGAAGCACAUCCAGAGGCUGCACGCAGCUGCCACGGUCAUCAAGCGCGCGUGGCAGAAGUGGAGGAUCAGAAUGGCCUUCCUUGCUUCUAAAGAACUGGAUGGUGUGGAAGAAAAACACUCAUCUCAAGCUCCCCGUUCCCCGAGUUCCCUCUCACUGCCCCAGGCACAGAGCAGGCUCCCAGGAGGAGCAACUCGACUCUGGCCCCUGGGCCUGGUCCUGGCCAACGCGGCUGUGGGAGUCCGUGGCUUUCAGAGGAAACUGGUGGUCUUCGCCUGCCUCCAGCUCCCCGUGGGCGCCCCCAGCAGCUAUACCAUCCAGACAGCACAAGACCAAGCCGGGGUCAUGUCCAUCCGGGCACUGCCUCAGGGCUCAAUAAGAUUUCGCUGCAGAAAGUCUCCACUGCGCUACGCUGACAUCUGCCCCCAGCCUUCACCUGACAGUGUCACUGGCUUUAAUCAGAUCCUGCUGGAAAGACACAAGCUGGGCCACGUGUGAUCCAUCCUCACCGGGCUGGGCCAUCCUCUGGGCCUUUGUCUCCACACCGCCUUCUCCUGCCAGCUGCCUUGCCAGAGACAUUUAAUCAGCACACGGCUGCCAAGUGACUCCCACAGCGACUCUGAGCACACGUGGGAGAGCGAUGGCUCCAGCCUGCAGCCCAGGCCAGGACUCUGACCUACGCCUCAAGCCCUGACAGUUGUCAGGGUUGGUAGGUACCAAAGCAGAUCCUUCACAGAUCCGACUCAGUGGUGCUGGCCCUCACUACAGUGGGCACCCUCACUACAGUGGGUACCCCAUGCCUCAAACCCCACUUGAAAUCAGCUCUAAAAUGUUGGCUGGGGGAAAUUGGGCAUUUUAGUUCCUUUAAAAGGAACAGAACCUUACUAUUUAAAUAUUUGUUGAUUUAUUUAAUAUAAUUUCAAACAACUAGAUUAGGAAUCAAGAACGCUGAGCAAUGCAAUGUACCAUAGAACCACCCCAUCCUAAUUUCAUUUAGAAACACUAAGAAAGUUCUAACUCAAAUGGGUGUGAAACUUGAUAUCAUUUAUGUAACUGUACCAAAAAUAAAACAUGUAAAAACAA
Molecule: non-coding RNA, 4505 nt
Organism: Sus scrofa (pig)
Lineage: Eukaryota; Metazoa; Chordata; Mammalia; Artiodactyla; Suidae
Source: RefSeq, a predicted model, not a curated record